GUCUUUCUAACCUAUCUACAGAAAGAGAGAGAUUAAUUCUCUCCUUGGUCCCCCUCCUCCUUCCCUUUCCUCUCUCCUUUCUCUGCCCCUCCAUAUGCCCUUGUAUAACCACAGGUAAGUAUACAAAAUGUUUUGUGGGUACCAUGAUUGAUGGUGACUGCCAGAUAUUUCCAGCAUUCGCCUCCAUCGCCUUUGGUAGGUCUGAGGAUGGAACUCGUGUCUUUAGGCUUUGUGGCAAGUAACUUUACCUGCAAAGUCAUCUAAACAACAGAUGGCUCUGCUCAAAUCCCACUACUUCAGAGGGCGUCUCCUGACGAAUCCCACUCUUGGAAGGCGCUUUGUACUUGUGCAUUUCUGUAAAGAAAAAAGAAAAUAAAGAAGGAAAGACUGGACACACUUGAAGCUGAGAUUUCAUAAAACAACAGUAUUCUAAGAGACUACAUUCUUCAUUCUUCCCUAGAAAUCUAGAAGAUGCUUCUGUUAGCAAAUGUCAUAUAUAAAGUCAAAAAGUCAAAAUGAAGUGUUGGUACCUAGGGCCUUUGGGUUUUC
Non-coding RNA from Mus caroli (Ryukyu mouse), 549 nucleotides. Lineage: Eukaryota; Metazoa; Chordata; Mammalia; Rodentia; Muridae. The record is from RefSeq and is a predicted model, not a curated record.